Molecule: ribosomal RNA, 511 nt
Filed under: bacterium enrichment culture clone ALO1_GLFRUDD03HAYYF
Lineage: Bacteria
Description: bacterial SSU rRNA
Rfam family: Bacterial small subunit ribosomal RNA
Source: RNAcentral
GAGUUUGAUCGUGGCUCAGAUUGAACGCUGGCGGCAGGCCUAACACAUGCAAGUCGAGCGGUAGAGAGAAGCUUGCUUCUCUUGAGAGCGGCGGACGGGUGAGUAAUGCCUAGGAAUCUGCCUGGUAGUGGGGGAUAACGUUCGGAAACGGACGCUAAUACCGCAUACGUCCUACGGGAGAAAGCAGGGGACCUUCGGGCCUUGCGCUAUCAGAUGAGCCUAGGUCGGAUUAGCUAGUUGGUGAGGUAAUGGCUCACCAAGGCGACGAUCCGUAACUGGUCUGAGAGGAUGAUCAGUCACACUGGAACUGAGACACGGUCCAGACUCCUACGGGAGGCAGCAGUGGGGAAUAUUGGACAAUGGGCGAAAGCCUGAUCCAGCCAUGCCGCGUGUGUGAAGAAGGUCUUCGGAUUGUAAAGCACUUUAAGUUGGGAGGAAGGGCAGUUACCUAAUACGUGAUUGUUUUGACGUUACCGACAGAAUAAGCACCGGCUAACUCUGUGCCAGCACG